This 717-nucleotide ribosomal RNA is filed under the name uncultured bacterium. RNAcentral describes it as "bacterial SSU rRNA". It matches the Rfam family "Bacterial small subunit ribosomal RNA", at positions 799 to 1516 of the family's 1533-position model. The record is from RNAcentral.
GCCCUAAACGAUGUCUACUAGUUGUCGGGUUUUAAUUAACUUGGUAACGCAGCUAACGCGUGAAGUAGACCGCCUGGGGAGUACGGUCGCAAGAUUAAAACUCAAAGGAAUUGACGGGGACCCGCACAAGCGGUGGAUGAUGUGGAUUAAUUCGAUGCAACGCGAAAAACCUUACCUACCCUUGACAUGUACGGAAGCCACGAGAGAUCGAGGUGUGCUCGAAAGAGAACCGUAACACAGGUGCUGCAUGGCUGUCGUCAGCUCGUGUCGUGAGAUGUUGGGUUAAGUCCCGCAACGAGCGCAACCCUUGUCAUUAGUUGCUACAUUCAGUUGAGCACUCUAAUGAGACUGCCGGUGACAAACCGGAGGAAGGUGGGGAUGACGUCAAGUCCUCAUGGCCCUUAUGGGUAGGGCUUCACACGUCAUACAAUGGUACAUACAGAGGGCCGCCAACCCGCGAGGGGGAGCUAAUCCCAGAAAGUGUAUCGUAGUCCGGAUCGCAGUCUGCAACUCGACUGCGUGAAGUUGGAAUCGCUAGUAAUCGCGGAUCAGCAUGUCGCGGUGAAUACGUUCCCGGGUCUUGUACACACCGCCCGUCACACCAUGGGAGCGGGUUUUACCAGAAGUAGGUAGCUUAACCGCAAGGGGGGCGCUUACCACGGUAGGAUUCGUGACUGGGGUGAAGUCGUAACAAGGUAGCCCGUAUCGGAAGGUGCC